Molecule: unclassified non-coding RNA, 2467 nt
Filed under: Leptinotarsa decemlineata (Colorado potato beetle)
Lineage: Eukaryota; Metazoa; Arthropoda; Insecta; Coleoptera; Chrysomelidae
Description: protein FAM76A, transcript variant X2
Source: RNAcentral
AUUUGGCAUUUAUUCAUUCAGAGGUCAUUCAUUUUCCGUCAUUUUGUGACCAUUCUACGCUUCGCCGUUAGCAUUUUCACAAAUCGCAAACGUUUUCGUACAAUUCUUUAGAAUGAGUGCUCAACUAUUAUUCGCGUGUUCUCGUUGUUUUGCUCGACACCCCUUCGAGGAAUUAUCUGCUGGGCAACAGCUGUGUAAAGAGUGUCGCGGGGCUUUUCCUGUGGUAAAAUGCACUUAUUGUCGGUCCGAAUUUCAACAAACUUCGAGAGGAAACACUAGCACUAUUUGUAAAAAGUGUGAACAGAAUGUUAAAUCUUAUGGAAAGCCUACGGCAUGCGAGUAUUGUAACAUUAUAGCAGGAUUCAUCGGAAAUAAAUGCCAGCGUUGCACAAAUUCCGAAAUUAAGUAUGGUCCCCCCGUCAACUGUGAACAGUGCAAACAAAAAUGCGCUUUCGAUAGACAUGAUGACGAUAAGAAGGUGGACGGGAAGCUUUUGUGUUGGUUGUGUACUCUUUCUUUCAAAAGGGCUCUGGCUAAAACAAAACAAGGAGAUGCUGAACGUAGAGCGCAUUUGAAAAGAUCUCAGUUACAUAAAAAUAAACAUAAGGAGGGCAAACUGCGUGGCCACAACAAACGACCGAAUCGACCAGAUGUUACCAAAAUGCCACCUCAAGAUGAAGCCCCUCCCAACAAAGUAGCUCGCAACAAUUCAGCGCCCGUGAUGAUUAGAGGCGAUGUGGAUCCUAACAGUUCGGAUCAUGUCGUCGCUAUGACCCAGUUGAAAGAACAGAUUGCCAGUCUUCAGAAACAGAUGACACAGAAGAAUUCGGAACUCAUCAACAAAGACAAAAUGAUUACCGAACUGAAGGCAAAUAACUUCACAACAGAAAACGAACUCAGAAACAAACUGAAGUCCAUUCAGAAAGAACACGAAGACAAAGUGAAUUUUUUGAACAAUCGAAUAUCUGGUUUAUUGAAAGAAGUUGCUGGUCUAUCCAAGUCCGCUAAGAAGGGCAAAGGAUUCACAACUGUAGCCAAUUCAGGGGACAACAACAGCAGCGGGACAGACAGCCCGAGUUUACAGUAGUUUCAAAUUAUUUCAUAUCAGUUGUUGGAUUGUGAUUGGAAUAACAAUUCUCCAGAAAUGUACCUUUUGAAUUUCAAUUAUUUACAUGAUGAUUCAUUUUGGAGGAAAACAUGAAAUGCAGAAAGAUAUUAAGGUAGAGUAUGAGGUUAAUUCUCUGAUUUUGAUGACAUUACGGGAGGUAUAAAAUAAGGUAGACGGGUUGACUAUUGCAGAAACGCCAAAUUCAGCCUCAUUUCAGAAAUAAUUUUUCAAUCAUGAGAAACUUACACAUAUUGGAGGAAUGUGCUAUUUUGUAAAUUUAGUAAACUGAACGCAAUGAAGUUUUGUGUGAGGUUGAUGUCGAAAAUACACACAAUCUGUUUGUAAAGUGUGAACCUACAUUCAUAAGGAAAAUAGAUGCAUUCUUGAAUGGUGGUCUCGUAAAACUAUUACCCAAAUAGAUCGAAUGGUCAUGAUGUAUAGGCUUCCAUUGUAGCUGUAUAACAAAUUACUUGCUGUCGCUAUUGCUGACGAAACAUCAGGCCAAAAUCCUGCCAGCCACAGCUAAUGAGUCCGAAUGAUAUGUUUUGACUUAUCUUCUGUCUGUCACUAUUCUACACAGGCUGUUUUUUUGAGAAAAAUGCAUAGCAUAAAUCGAUCAGUAAUAGAUACGCAGAAUAUAAGAGGUAGUUUUGGCAAUUGGUUUGGAUGUCAUCCGAUUCAUCAAACCAUCAACACUGAAUAGUGAUGGACCUGAGGCACUCUAAAUCGAAAAUUGUAUAAAAACCUGGAAGAUACAGGAAAUAUGCAGGUUCUGCACUUUGUUGGCACUGGCCAUGUGUUAAACCGUAGUAGUUCAAAAGCGAAGUGUUGCCAGAAGGCAUAAAAUGAAUCAUAGUUCAUUAGAAGUCAUAAUUGAAUCUAAAUUUUUCACAUAAGUAAGUCCAUUUACUAGGAUCUGCUUUUUCAGUUGGAUAGCAAAAUCCCAUACUGUUCUAGGUAGUUAAUCUUCCUUCUAAUCAUAUAUUCUUCAGUGAUAGGCUUUGUUUUGUAACUUGAAGACUGCCUUCAGGGCUGUAGCCUCGAGUAGGUUCAAUGGGAGUGGCUUACAACUAUGCCUUGGUUAUUCUCAUUCAGUUGGAAAACUUGAGAGUGGCGGCGCCUAUGAAUGUUUGAAAGAAGAACCACGAAGAUGAAAUGAUAUAAUACACCAGAAAACACUCUUUCAAGGAAGCACAUUUGAUUACAGGUGCUAGAAAUGGAUCAUGCUUCAAAUAUCUGGCUUAAAAAAGUUAAACUUAUCAAAAUCAUAGAAUUAACCAUAUUUUUCACCUUUUCUGAGAAAAGAUGAGAAGAGGUUCUUGUGUUAACGUGUUGAAGUAAUAAAUUACUUUUCAUUAA